RNAcentral lists this ribosomal RNA (428 nucleotides) under uncultured bacterium. RNAcentral describes it as "bacterial SSU rRNA". It matches the Rfam family "Bacterial small subunit ribosomal RNA", at positions 355 to 776 of the family's 1533-position model. The record is from RNAcentral.
UGGGGAAUAUUGGACAAUGGGCGGAAGCCUGAUCCAGCAAUACCGCGUGUGUGAAGAAGGCCUUCGGGUUGUAAAGCACUUUCAGUGGGGAGAAAGGGGUGUGCGAUAAUACCGUACAUCAUUGAUGUUACCCAAAGAAGAAGCACCGGCUAACUCUGUGCCAGCAGCCGCGGUAAUACAGAGGGUGCAAGCGUUAACGGAAUGACUGGGCGUAAAGCGUGUGUAGGUGGUUGGAUAAGUUAGAUGUGAAAUCCCCGGGCUUAACCUGGGAACUGCGUUUAAAACUGUUCAGCUAGAGUACUGUAGAGGAUAGUGGAAUUUCCAGUGUAGCGGUGAAAUGCGUAGAUAUUGGAAGGAACACCAGUGGCGAAGGUGACUAUCUGGAUAGAUACUGACACUGAGACACGAAAGCGUGGGGAGCAAACAGG